CCCCUUAUUAUCCCUGUAUUAAGAGAGACAUAAAUAAUUUCCUCUUAGAAACUAUCAGGCAAAGUCGUAACUUACUUUUUAAGUUCCAAGCUUCCCUCUGCUUGUCCACUUCCUUAUGUUCCAGCAAAAAUCAUGUAGCUGAGCAAUAUAAUGGUCUGGGAAAAAUGAUGAUAGUCUUUAAAAUUUUUCAUAUAAAUGUUAUUUACAUGCGUACUUUAAAUUUUUUCUCUAGGUGCCCUUCCCAAUCAGAUACUUCACAAAUUGUUUUCACCUCCUCCCACUACUCAAGUCUAAAAAGUUUCUCAGAUAACUUGGAGUGUGUUAAGCAACUAUAUAAAUCUUUUUAAACGUUUUUUUGAAACAAAGAGGGAAAGUAAGAUAUUUAAAAGAAAAAAAUCUUAGAGAUGCUCCGAGACCAGUAUAGGCAUUAUUAUGCAAAUAUUUGGAAAACAAUUUUCAGACUGGCAAACACUGAUGAGCUUUUUCUCCCCUCACAUCUAUAUUCAGGGAGAAUUCUGAAAUGCUAAGAUUACAUAGUCUGGUCACCGGCCAAUGCCUUCUUUCAGCCCUGCUCUCACAGAGUACCAGAUCUUUAGUCAACAAUGAAAAAUGUCUAAGGUUAUACAUUUUAUCUUCCCCUUUGCUUUUGAAGCCCCUUUCCUUACGGAGAACUUAGAAAAGUCAGGUUAGGUUUCAAGUACUGUGAAGCUAGGAUCUAGAUUCUUCCAUUCUUUUUAGGCCUUGAGGAAAAGGACAAGUAUAAUUCUUUUUUUUUUUUUUUCAUAUAUCCACUCUUACUGUAGAUUCUUUUCCCAUAUAAACAAUUGCAGAGUAUUGAGUAGAAUUCUCUGUGCUGUACACUAGGUCCUUAUUAGUUAUCUAUUUUAUUUAUAGUAAUGUGUAUAUGACGAUCCCAAUCUCCCAAUUUAUCCCUCCCCCCCAUCAUACCCUGGUAACCAUAAGUUUAUUUUCUGCAUCUGUGACUCUAGUUCUGUUUUGUAAAUAAGUUCAUUUGUACGCUUCUUUCAGAUUCCACAUAUAAGCGAUAUCAUAUGAUAUUUCUCUUUCUGUGUCUGACUUACUUCACUCAGUAUGACGAUCUCUAGGUCCAUCCAUGUUGCAAAUAAUAUUAAUUUGUUCUUUUUUAUGGCUGAGUAGUAUUCCAUUGUAUAUAUGUACCACAUCCUCUUUAUCCAUUCCUCUAUUGAUGGACAUCUAGGUUGCUUCCAUAACCUGGCUGUUGUAAAUAGUGCUACAGUGAACAUAGGGGUGCAUGUAUCUUUUCGAAUUAUGGUUUUCUCUAGGUAUAUGCCUAGGAGUGGGAUUGCCGGGUCAUAUGGUAGUUCUAUUUUUAGUUUUUUAAGGAAUCUCCAUACUGUUCUCCAUAGUGGCUGUACCAAUUUACAUUCCCACCAACAGUGCAGAAGGGUUCCCUUUUCUCCACACCCUCUCCAGCAUUUAUUGUUUGUAGAUUUUUUGAUGAUGGCCAUUCUGACUGGUGUGACUUGAUACCUCACUGCAGUUUUGAUUUGCAUUUCUCUAAGAAUUAGCAAUGUUGAGCAUCUUUUCAUGUGCUUUUUGGCCAUCUGUACGUCUUCUUUGGAGAAAUGCCUAUUUCGAUCUUCCACCCAUUUUUUUGAUUGGGUUGUGGGUUGUUUUUUUUUUGAUAUUGAGCUACAUGAGAUAUUUGUGUAUUUUAGAGAUUAAUCCCUUGUCAGUUACUUCAUUUGCAAAUAUUUUCUCCCAUCUUAAGGUUUCCACAGCUGGCAGGUUGAACUAACAAUUGGUGAAGAGAUAGGAUUUGGGUCAGAUGCCCAGCCAGGGACAAAUAGUUGUAUUUGUUGAGGGCAUACCCUUUAUCCUAUCCUUUGGAAACAUAAGAGUCAUCACAGGUAAGUGGAUGCGAAUCUAAGUCCAGUAGAGGCAAGGGCACAGCAUCUGGUGAAGCUAGCAAGAUGGGACUCCCAAAUCUGGAAAAUGAUGGACGAUUUUCCAUAUUGAGUGUCAUUUGUUGUUUUGAGAACAGCAAUUCUCUUGACCAAUAAAAAUCUUUAGUGAGGGAAAUGCUGAAAUGUGAUCUUAUUUCCUUAGGUUUUUAGAUUGAGAUGCCAGGAAGACAAGAAGUAAAUGUUAUUCUGAAGGUUGUGUCACCCAGAGAGAAAUGAAUAAAUAACUGUCACAGGACACUGAUUCUGGGCUCAUUGACAGAAAGAAACAAAUUAACAUUUCCUCACAUGAGAUAAGGCUUCUUUUCUAUUGAUAAGAAGAAUUUUAAUUAUCUAUUGCCUAAGAUAAUUCAGAAACUUUUAGAAAAACAAAACACCGGUGAACAUGAAAAGCAAAAAUACUUUGCAUCCUAUAAAUUUCUAUUUCAGUUCUUGUUAAUAUUUAUGCAUAUAUUUUUACACACAUAAUUUGUUGAAACAUAUACUCAUUUUGACUCCUGAAAUUUAUAGAAUAUUUAUAUUUCCAUGUAACAAUAUAAUUCUAGAGCCUUUUAAUAUAUUAUUUAUUAUAAUAUUAUUCAUGUAGUCUGAUUCUCAGAAGUAUUUUUGCACCUAACCAGAUUGCACUGAAGUAGGAAUGAGCCAGUACACACUGCCAUAAGUUGAGAUAGCAUUGUGUAUUACUGAAAUUUAUUUUUGAAGUCUUAACUGCAAUAUGCAGUGGUAACAAAAUUGCUUUUAUUUGUGUUUCUAUGUAUUUUUUUAAUAUGGUUGGUGAUUUCUAUUAUUAUGGGUAAGCUUUUUUUAAAUUAUAAUAAGCACUUAUUUAGCAGACUGUGGCUGGUAACUUUAUAUAUUUGUGUGUGUGAGUAUUUGAGAUCAAAAUUUUAUCAGUUAUAGUGUCAUAUAUUUUGUCAUUUAGACGUGUCAUUACUCUAAUUUACAACAAUUAUUUCCAUUUUUAUAUCCUUAAACAUUCAUUGGCUGUGUUUCUUUUUUUUUGCAGUACGCGGGCCUCUCACUGUUGUGGCCUCUCCCGUUGCGGAGCACAGGCUCCGGACGCGCAGGCUCAGCGGCCAUGGCUCACGGGCCCAGCCGCUCCGUGGCGUGUGGGAUCUUCCCGGACCGGGUCACGAACCUGUGUCGCCUGCAUCGGCAGGCAGACUCUCAACCACUGUGCCACCAGGGAAGCCCCUAGAUCAUUCUUUUAAAAUGUUUUUCCCUAUGCAUUCAGCUGCUUAAGGUUCCAUAGAUGUUAAUUAAGAUGCCGAUAUCCAGGCCCCAACAAACUUAUUGAAUUAGUUUCUGUGGUGGAGCCUUGGGUAGAAUUCCUAACAAGUUCCCCAGGUGAUACUUAUAUAUACUAAGAAUGAAAACCAAGGUUGUAGAAGUUUUCUUUUUCUAUUCUAAUAUCAGUAAGGCCAAAUAUAGUGAGUUGUUACUAUAUAGUUACCCGGCUAUGCUCACAUCAUAGCAGUGACCAACAUGAGAAAUGAUUUUAUUUAUUUGUUUGUUUAUGUAUCUAUUUUCUAUCUCCUGCCUUUCAGAUAAGUGCUGCAUGAAAGAUGUGUGAUCUCUUUCAUUUCACCCCUGUACCCAGUGCUUAGAACAUGGCCAGAACAUGCUGAGCUCACCCCUGCUUCAGGGCCUUUGAACUUGCUCUUCUUCAUGCCUGGAAUGAUCUUCUCUCAAGUUUGUACAUGGUUCUCUGCUUCUCGUUAUUUGGUUCUCUUACUAAAAUAUCCUCACAGGGGCCUUUCCUGAGCCCCCUGACAAAGGUACAGCUACUGGGAAAGCACAGUCUCACAGACAGCUUGCUGUUUGGACUUGGGGCUACAGGGAGGAGGUCAGUAGAUUGCCUUUUAAACAAGAAUCUUUGGAAUUCAGGUGAGAAGGGCUGCAAAUACAGGCAUAUUGAUAAUUUGGGGUUUUUUUUUCUAUUGCAUUGCUAUUAUGGGACUAACAUAGAUAGCUUUGGGAAUUUGAGGAUGAAGCCAUAAGAUGAGGGAAAUAGAGUGUUCUCGGUAUAUGUGGAAAGAGUGUGCUAUCAUAAAUAUUUUGCAAUGAGCAAUAGAGUAGCCUAGUUGAUACAGUUGAAUUGUUCAUUGGGUAUAUAGCACCAAUUCAAGAGUUCACUUAAAAUGCUUAGUCUUCAUCUUACAAGGAGAGGUAAAAACAUGAUACAUGAAAUUUAGUUUGAAAAAGGACUGAAGGGAACAUCCUAAAACUAGGAGAGUUAGAGUUAGAUAUUCUAUGGUUAAAAAGCCAUAACUCCAGAGUAUUUCUGAAGGUAUGGUAUGAAGAAAGUCAUCUUCCAAACAACGUUUACAUUCACAGGAAGAAUCUCAUGGUUCUGGGAUGGAAACUGAUCCAUGAUGAAAUUUGAGGAUAAAGAUGAUGGGGGGAUGGAGGUGCAGAGGUAGAGGAAAGAACUAAGCAUGGGUCAAAAAUGGCUUCCAGAAUCCUAAUUCUGUCCUAAUAGCAAGAUAUAAUUUGACCAUUAAAAAAAAAAACUUAUAAAAAGCAAUGUGGCCAAAUGCAAUUUUAUAGAACAUAAUUUCAUUGAAAGCAAUUUAGUUAAAAGCAAGUUGGUCAGCAGGUCAUUUUGGCUGAAAUGAUGAUGGGGUUUAAAUGAAAAUUCCUGGACACUGCUUUUUUUUAGUCUUAGUUAUUUUUGGUACACCAUGGGGCACUUUGCAGACCUUCAUACAUCAUUACAUAUUCUUUUCCAGUUUAUAGGCCUUUUUCUGCUUUUUUGCUUUUUAAUAUUUAACAUCAUUUCAGUCAUGUUUUUUCAUGUUUAACCAAUUCUCCUUAUUCUCUAUCUUUUUGCUUUUACAUUUCUAAUUCAUAUUAAAAUUAUUCCUGCACACUCUGUUUAAGAUAAGAAGAUGUUAGAAUAAAAUAAAUAUCUAACAUUUGGUAAAUUGCCUAAAUAACUGUAGGUUACAAAAUAAUGGUAUGAUCCCAUUUCUACUGAAAAGUAAGACACAAAUAUUUAUAUAAUAUAUAAUAAACAUACUUUGUAUUUUAGAAAAGAAUCUGUACAGAUAAUGAAAUGUUAAUAGAUAUUUUGGAUAGGUAAAAUUCUAGGGUUUUUUGUGCUCCUUUUGUAUUUUUCUAUUUUAAAAUAUUAAAAAAUCGUAUUUUCAAAAUAAAAAAAUUACAUUUUUCUAUUUCUAAAAUAAAGCAUACAUUUCUGUUAAAAUAUGGAAAAAUAGAAUAAAAGCUAAUAAUGAGUCAUUAAUUAAAAAAUAAUUGAAGGGACUUCCCUGGUGGCACAAUGGUUAAGAAUCUGCCUGCCAAUGCAGGGGACACGGGUUCGAGCCCUGGUCCAGGAAGAUCCCACAUGCCGCAGAGCAACUAACCCCGUGCAUCACAACUACUGAAGCCUGCAUGCCUAGAACCCGUGCUCCGCAACAAGAGAAGCCAGCGCAAUGAGAAGCCCGUGCACUGCAACAAAGAGUAGCCCCUGCUCGCCACAACUAGAGAAAGCCUGUGUGCAGCAACGAAGAUCCAACGAAGCCAUCAAUAAAUUAAUAAAUUAAUUAAUUUUAAAAAAAAGAAGAUGUGGUACAUAUAUAUAGUGGAAUAUUAGUCAGCCAUAAAAAGGAACGAAAUUGGGUCAUUUGUAGAGAUGUGGAUGGACCUAGAGACUGUCAUACAGAGUGAAGUAAGUUAGAAAGAGAAAAACAAAUAUUGUAUAUUAAUGCAUAUAUGUGGAAUCUAGAAAAAUGAUACAGUUGAACUGGCUUGCAAGGCAGAAAUAGAGACAUGGAUGUUGGGGACAAACGUAUGCACACCAAGGGGGGAAAGUGGGGGUGGGUGGUGUGAUGAAUUGGGAGAUUGGGGUUGAUAUAUAUACACUAAUAUGGAUUAAAUGGAUAACUAAUAAGAACCUGCUGUAUAAAAAAAUAAAUAAAAUUCAAAAAAAUAAUUAAAAAAAAGAACUGAAACUUGAAGGAUGGGAUUUUUCUACUUUAAAAAUAACAAUUUAAAGACAAUUAUGCCUAUUCUGCUUAUCUGACUAUGUUUCACUUUUUGUGCAAGGGAAAAAAUUAAGCAGGUAUUUUUUUCAAACUAAGCCACUUUUGUUUGAUGUUUCUCUAUGAAAACUGAAAGAGUGGACAUAGUUAUCUAAGACUUGAUCAGAAAUACAGGUAAAAAAUAGGGAAAUAAGCAGAUAAUGCCUGAAAAUUGGUAUUGCAAAAUUAGAGAAAGAUUUUACUUAGAAAACUCUAACAUAUAGCAAAAAUUUAAACUUUCCACAACAUGAAACAAAAUAGCCUAAAUAAAUUAUGGUAAGUUAAAAAUUAAUGCUAUAUCAUUUCUACUAACAAAUAAAAUAUAAAUAUUUACAUAUUAUAUAAUACACACUGCAUUUUAGAAAAUGGUCUGUACAGAUAUUUAAAAGGAUAAUAGGUGGUUGCACGAUAUUUAAUAAAAGAAUACUUGAAAAACCAGUUCCUAUAUAUAUUCAUUUUUAACAGUUCUCAUACAUAUUAAUUUUUGAACAAACUGCUGGAGUUGAAUAGCUGGGUUUCAGCUAACCUGCAUUCAGCCAAAUUUAAGCAAUUUUUUUCCUGCCAGCUAUAUCAUUGAUUGUACGAUACAUUAGGCAAUGCUGGGAUACUAGAAAUCAUAGCUAAUCUGGAGAACAAAUCUUACAGAAUCUGACAGAGGUAAUUGAUAUGGGAAGAGACAGAGUACAUGGCCAUGAGAAUUUACUAGGGGGACAUAUUGAAAAACACAUAACUGAAUUUAAAGGAAUCUUCUGGAUAUGUUCUGUAUGUUGAGGGAAGAGGUACAUAAUUUCUAGGCCCCUGAGUCUCUGGUCCUGCUAAUGUAAGAAUGUGUAGGUGGGGAGGACUUGGUAGGGUUUUUUUUCCCUGCUUUGGGAAAAUGUAAUGUCCAAGUAUCUUUAGUACAUACCGUUCACUCCUGUAAAAGGAGGCAUGUAUAAGGAUAUUCACACAAGGAUGAUGUAAAAUACAUACAUACACACUACUAUAUAUAAAAUAGAUAACUAAUAAGGACCUAGUGUAUAGCACAGGGAACUCUGCUCAAUACUCUGUAAGGGCCUAUAUGGGAGAAGAAUCUAAAAAGAAGUGUGGAUAUAUGUAUAUGUAUAACUGAAUCACUUUGCUGUACACCUGAAACUAACACAACAUUGUAAAUCAGCUAUACUCCAAUAAAAAAAAUUUUAAAUAUAAAAUAAAAUAUAUACACAGAUAGAUGUAAAUAUUAUAAAUUUUCACCAGUAAGUGAAUGGCUAGAUAAUAUCCCAAACUAUAUAAAAAGCUACUGGUGGCAGUUCAAUGGUAAAGACCUGAAAAUAUAAACAUGGAAACAUCUUUAAGACAUGUUAUUAUGAGAAAAUAAUUUUGCAGAAAUAUUUAUAUGAUUCCAUUUGUAUUAAAACAACAAAACUGUCCUAAAUGUCCUAACUUUUUAUCCAUUUAUGAAUGUAUCUAUGUAAAUGCAUAAAAAACAUUCUAAAGUUACAAAGUACACUGUUUUCAUUCCUUCUGGAGAGGGAAAAAAGAUUGGUGGCAACAGUGGAGGGUUUGCAUUUUUACCAAAUAUAUUUCAGUAUUGUUUGCAUUGAUUAUAAAUAAAUAUAUUUCUGUAUUACUAGCAGAUGUAACAAGUCUAGAAGACUUGAGUAGCUCAAAUAAAGAACUAAGUGGAAGAACAUUUAAUAUUUUAAAUCUUUUAAAUACCUAAAUCUAAUUGAGUCUUCAAAGUGUUAUCUCCUCUAAAAGAUAUAACCUCCCCAACCCUCCCAAACCCACCACAGGGAGGAAAGGAGAAGGCAAGGGUAAAGAUAACAAUUACUGAAAAUCUACGACAUGUUCAGGAAUUUCUUAUGCUUACAAGGAUUUGCUUCUCAUAAGAGGUAGAGCCAGAAAUUAUAUCCCUAGAACUAUUUGGGUUGAGGUAGGCUAAAUAUUACCAUAGUAUUUCCAUGUUUUAGACAUGAAUUGAAAAAUAUUAGAAUUUUCAUUGAGUCGAAAAAGAAUUCUCAUAAGCAUUUCCUUUGUAUGACUUUUCCCUAGAAAGUGUUGAGUGAUGACCAUAGCUAAUCAAUUAGGACGUAAUGGCUAGCUAGUUGAAGUUUUCUUUCAAUAAUGAAUACAUUUAAGUACCUCAGGUUGAUGAAUUCUUGUCUACAUAUGCAAGAGAGAUUAGGCAAUUAUCCAAUAAAUCAGGGUGAUAAACCUAUUACAGAGUAAAGAUGGGGGUGAGGGUUAUUUCUGUUUCUAAGAUUGAUGGCUUGUAUUAGUUAAAUUUACUAUCUUCUUAAUUUUUCCUAGCACGGGAUAACCAAACAAAUACUUUUCUUAAUGGGUCAAGGUUUUGCCUGUAGAAGGUCCUCAAUGAAUAAUUGUUGCAAGAAAUUGAACUUGACAUAGGGAUGUUUUCAAAACACUUUGUAUUCAUCUAAAGUGCUAUCAUUUUGUCUACUUUAUAACAUUUGUUCCAUGUACUACUGCAUUUAAUAUACUCUUUUUUUUUUUUUUUUUUUUUACUGUACACGGGCCUCUCACUGUUGUGGCCUCUCCCGUUGCGGAGUACAGGCUCCGGACGUGCAGACUCAGCGGCCAUGGCUCACGGACCCAGCCGCUCCACGGCAUAUGGGAUCUUCCCGGAUUGGGGCACGAACCCGUGUCCCCUGCAUCGGCAGGCAGACUCUCAACCACUGCGCCACCAGGGAAGUCCUAAUAUACUCUUUAAAAGGUAAAAAAUACAUUUUUACUGAAUUAGUCAACAAUUAAUUUUUGGAAAAGAAGAUGGCAGAGAGUAACAAACCUAUGGAGGAAGCUCUUGAAUAGUUUGAUUCAAACUUGAACAAUGAAUAGACAACUCAAAAGAAAUUCACCCAGACAUCUUCUACACAAGCUCUUCAGAAACUUCCUAGUUUGAGGGUGCCUGGGUGGCUUAUGCAUUGUUCACAUUUUUCUCUAUAUCAGUAUUAUACAGCUUAUCACAUACAUCUCAGAUCUAAAGUGAAUGUUCAUUUCUCCCAGCCUUUUCUAGUGUGCACUACUACACCAUCCUUAUCUUAAAGGAAGGAGAAAACCCAAAGUAAUGCGCAAACCACUGAGAUUAAUAAGGUGAUUGAAUAGCGUGGCUAAGUAGAAGAGUCAAGGUACCAAAGUCAAUUUUAUUUUUAUAUACUAGCAAAUAAUGUUUAGAAUUGCUAAAUAAAAGAUACUACAUACAAGGGCAGGAAAAAUGUAUCAUAGGAAUAAAACUAAAAGCAAUGUAACAGUCUCUUAUAAAGAAUAGUAUGACAUUAGCUAAAAGACAUCAAAGAAGACCUAAAUAAAUGGAGAGUCAGACCAUGUACAUUGAUAGGGAGAGCUCAGUAUCAUAAAUUUGUCAGUUUCCCCCCAAAUUGAUCGAGAGGUUCUUGGUAUUGCCAGUAAAAUUUUCAAAACAGUUUUUCAUGGAAGCAAUAUGAUUUAACCAUAUGUAUAUGUGAGGAGCAAAGGGCCAUAAUGAUCAAUCACACCCGCAGCAGAAGACUGGUCAGGAAUACCUGCCCUACCAAAUAUAAUUCUUAUUAAAAGGCUAUUAUUAUUAAUAUAGUGGAUAUUGAUGCAGAAAAAGGCAGAUAGAUGAAUGCAAUGAACAAAGAAUCCAGAAGAAACCAUAUCUAUAUAUAGAAAUAUUAAAGUAUGACAGAAAUGAAAUUGUUGAUCAGUGGACUGGUUUUGGAAGUUAGCUAAAAAUCAGUUCCAGAUUGAUCAAAAAAUUAUGUGACAAGACUAUAA
Molecule: long non-coding RNA, 9727 nt
Organism: Orcinus orca (killer whale)
Lineage: Eukaryota; Metazoa; Chordata; Mammalia; Artiodactyla; Delphinidae
Exons: 3
Source: RefSeq, a predicted model, not a curated record